Molecule: ribosomal RNA, 456 nt
Filed under: uncultured bacterium
Lineage: Bacteria
Description: bacterial SSU rRNA
Rfam family: Bacterial small subunit ribosomal RNA
Source: RNAcentral
GCAGCAGUGAGGAAUAUUGGUCAAUGGACGAGAGUCUGAACCAGCCAAGUAGCGUGAAGGAUGACUGCCCUAUGGGUUGUAAACUUCUUUUAUAUGGGAAUAAAACGUUCCACGUGUGGGAUUUUGUAUGUACCAUAUGAAUAAGGAUCGGCUAACUCCGUGCCAGCAGCCGCGGUAAUACGGAGGAUCCGAGCGUUAUCCGGAUUUAUUGGGUUUAAAGGGAGCGUAGGUGGAUUGUUAAGUCAGUUGUGAAAGUUUGCGGCUCAACCGUAAAAUUGCAGUUGAAACUGGCAGUCUUGAGUACAGUAGAGGUGGGCGGAAUUCGUGGUGUAGCGGUGAAAUGCUUAGAUAUCACGAAGAACUCCGAUUGCGAAGGCAGCUCACUGGACUGCAACUGACACUGAGGCUCGAAAGUGUGGGUAUCAAACAGGAUUAGAUACCCUGGUAGUCCACACA